GGUAGAAAUGGCCAGCCAAAGCAGGUAUGCUUGUUUUUGUUUCCCUUUAAAUUUUAUGGCAUAUCAAGAGCCAUUGAACCUUAUUUGAUCCCAAGCUUCAUUAGAUAUGAUGGGGAUGCUUCCAAAAUGAGCUUUCUAUUCUUUUACACCUGAUUUUAUCAUAUUGAUCAUUUUUCCUUAUGCGAUAUCCUCCAUCUCCAAUUCCAGACAAUAAGCUACAUGGCUGAG
RNAcentral lists this unclassified non-coding RNA (228 nucleotides) under Hevea brasiliensis (rubber tree). Lineage: Eukaryota; Viridiplantae; Streptophyta; Magnoliopsida; Malpighiales; Euphorbiaceae. The record is from RNAcentral.